CGGGUAUAGUUUAGUGGUAUAACAAUUGCUUUCCAAACAUUUAGUGUUGGUUCGAUUCUCAUUACUUG
RNAcentral lists this transfer RNA (68 nucleotides) under pig gut metagenome. It matches the Rfam family "tRNA". Rfam says of the family: Transfer RNA (tRNA) molecules are approximately 80 nucleotides in length. Their secondary structure includes four short double-helical elements and three loops (D, anti-codon, and T loops). The record is from RNAcentral.